This 74-nucleotide transfer RNA is filed under the name Streptomyces albidoflavus. Its description in RNAcentral is "tRNA-Met". It matches the Rfam family "tRNA". From Rfam's summary of the family: Transfer RNA (tRNA) molecules are approximately 80 nucleotides in length. Lineage: Bacteria; Bacillati; Actinomycetota; Actinomycetes; Kitasatosporales; Streptomycetaceae. The record is from RNAcentral. RNAcentral also lists the same sequence under 1 other name.
CGCGGGGUGGAGCAGCUCGGUAGCUCGCUGGGCUCAUAACCCAGAGGGCGCAGGUUCAAAUCCUGUCCCCGCUA